Molecule: ribosomal RNA, 1217 nt
Filed under: uncultured Rhizaria
Lineage: Eukaryota
Description: SSU rRNA
Rfam family: Eukaryotic small subunit ribosomal RNA
Source: RNAcentral
CGGUAAUUCCAGCUCCAAUAGCGUAUACUAAAGUUGUUGCAGUUAAAAAGCUCGUAGUUGGAUUUCUGCGGGGACGGAGCGGCCGGACGCAACUUGCGUCUCGAGCUAGCGCUUUCCCCGCAUCCUGCCGCGAACCGUGCUACCAUUAGUUUGGUGGCGCUGGGGAUCGGCUCGAUUACUUUGAGAAAAAUAGAGUGUUCAAAGCAGGCCACACGCCUUGAAUAAGUUAGCAUGGAAUAAUGACUAAGGACUUUGGUUCUUUUCGUUGGUGUUCGGGACUGAAGUAAUGAUUGAUAGGGACAGUUGGGGCGGUCCGUAUUCCAAAGCGAGAGGUGAAAUUCUUAGACCUUCGGAAGACGAACAGCUGCGAAAGCGUUCCGCAAGGAUGUUCCCUUUGAUCAAGAACGAAAGUUGGGGGAUCGAAGACGAUCAGAUACCGUCGUGGUCUCAACUAUAAACUAUACCAGCUAGGGAUCGGCCAACGUUUAAUUAUUCGACUUGGUCGGCACCUUAUGAGAAAUCAAAGCAUCUGGGUUCCGGGGGGAGUAUGGUCGCAAGGCUGAAACUUAAAGGAAUUGACGGAAGGGCACCACCAGGCGUGGAGCCUGUGGCUUAAUUUGACUCAACACGGGAAAACUUACCAGGUCCAGACAUAGGAAGGAUUGACAGAUUGAUAGCUCUUUCUUGAUUCUGUGGGUGGUGGUGCAUGGCCGUUUUUAGUCGGUGAAGUGAUUUGUCUGCUUAAUUGCGUUAACGGACGAGACCCCUGCCUGCUAAAUAGCGCGGCCGAGCUUUGCUCGGUACGAGCUUCUUAGAGGGACCAUGAUGCGCGAUAGCACAAGGAAGUUUGGGGCAACAACAGGUCUGUGAUGCCCUUAGAUGUUCUGGGCCGCACACGGGCUACACUGGCGCCUGCAACGAGCAUAUCAGCUGGCCCGAGAGGGUCUUGGCUAAUCUUUGGAACCGGCGCCGUGCUUGGGAUUGACCAUUGCAAUUGUUGGUCAUGCAACGAGGAAUGCCUUGUAAACGCGAGUCAUCAGCUCGCAUUGAAUACGUCCCUGCCCUUUGUACACACCGCCCGUCGCUCCUACCGAUGAAUGUUCCGAUGAAAUUUUCGGAGAGCGCCGGAGAACGGGGCUCUGCCCUGCAGAACUGGAGGCUCAAAGUCACUUAAAUCUGAACAUUUCGAGGAAGGAGAAGUCGUAACAAGGUAGCCG